GACGAACGCUGGCGGCGUGCUUCAUACAUGCAAGUCGAACGAGAAGCUGACUUCGGUCAGUGGAAAGUGGCGGACGGGUGAGUAAUAUGUAGGAAAUCUGCCUUUAGGAGGGGGACAACAGAGGGAAACUUCUGCUAAUACCCCAUAUGAGCGUAGCUGAAAUGCUAUUCUUGAAAACUCCGGUGCCUAAAGAUGAGCCUGCAUCUGAUUAGCUAGUUGGUAGUGUAAUGGACUACCAAGGCGACGAUCAGUAGCUGGUUUGAGAGGAUGAUCAGCCACAAUGGGACUGAGUCACGGCCCAUACUCCUGCGGGAGGCAGCAGUAGGGAAUUUUGCGCAAUGGGCGAACGGCUGACGCAGCAACGCCGCGUGAACGAUUAAGCCCUUCGGGGUGUAAAGUUCUGUCAGUGGGGACGAAACUUGACGGUACCCACAGAGGAAGCACCGGCUAACUCCGUG
This 458-nucleotide ribosomal RNA is filed under the name uncultured bacterium. RNAcentral describes it as "partial 16S ribosomal RNA". It matches the Rfam family "Bacterial small subunit ribosomal RNA", at positions 28 to 507 of the family's 1533-position model. The record is from RNAcentral.